This 229-nucleotide unclassified non-coding RNA is filed under the name Hevea brasiliensis (rubber tree). The record is from RNAcentral. Lineage: Eukaryota; Viridiplantae; Streptophyta; Magnoliopsida; Malpighiales; Euphorbiaceae.
GCAUAAUUUGUAAUUUUUAUUUUGGACCUUCACCUUGUCUGCUUCAACGAUUUUCUCAUGUUGCUAGACGUAGUAACAUAUAUCAUUCUAUGCUCAUAUGAUAGGUUUGGCAAUCUCAUAUACCUUUACCCUAUUAUUUGAUUGAAAAUUAUCCAUGCAGCCAAAUGUUCGCAUCAUUCCACUAAUCUGCUUAAAUUUUAUCCUCAACCUGCAGGUUUGUACAGGUACA